This 561-nucleotide ribosomal RNA is filed under the name uncultured bacterium. RNAcentral describes it as "bacterial SSU rRNA". It matches the Rfam family "Bacterial small subunit ribosomal RNA", at positions 338 to 916 of the family's 1533-position model. The record is from RNAcentral.
CCUACGGGAGGCAGCAGUGGGGAAUAUUGGACAAUGGGCGAAAGCCUGAUCCAGCAAUGCCGCGUGAGUGAUGAAGGCCUUCGGGUCGUAAAGCUCUUUUACCAGGGAUGAUAAUGACAGUACCUGGAGAAUAAGCUCCGGCUAACUCCGUGCCAGCAGCCGCGGUAAUACGGAGGGAGCUAGCGUUGUUCGGAAUUACUGGGCGUAAAGAGUACGUAGGCGGUUAUUCAAGUCAGAGGUGAAAGCCCGGAGCUCAACCCCGGAACUGCCUUUGAAACUAGAUAACUAGAGUCUUGGAGAGGUUAGUGGAAUUCCGAGUGUAGAGGUGAAAUUCGUAGAUAUUCGGAAGAACACCAGUGGCGAAGGCGACUAACUGGACAAGUACUGACGCUGAGGUACGAAAGCGUGGGGAGCAAACAGGAUUAGAUACCCUGGUAGUCCACGCCGUAAACGAUGAUAACUAGUUGUUCGGUCACUUGGUGACUGAGUGACGCAGCUAACGCAUUAAGUUAUCCGCCUGGGGAGUACGGUCGCAAGNUUAAAACUCAAAUGAAUUGACGG